This 425-nucleotide ribosomal RNA is filed under the name uncultured bacterium. RNAcentral's name for it is "partial 16S ribosomal RNA". It matches the Rfam family "Bacterial small subunit ribosomal RNA", at positions 354 to 796 of the family's 1533-position model. The record is from RNAcentral.
GUUAGGAAUAUUGGACAAUGGGCGCAAGCCUGAUCCAGCCAUGCCGCGUGAGUGAUGAAGGCCUUCGGGUUGUAAAGCUCUUUAGCCGAUGAUUAUAAUGACUGUAGUCGGAAAAUAAGCCCCGACUAACUUCGUGCCAGCAGCCGCGGUAAUACGAAGGGGGCGAGCGUUAUUCGGAAUCACUGGGCGUAAAGCGUGAGUAGGCGGCUUUGCAGGUUGGGAGUGAAAGCACAGGGCUCAACCAUGGAAUUGCUCUCAAAACUACAAGGAUCGAAUUCGGGAGAGGAUAGCGGAAUUGUCAGUGUAGCAGUGAAAUGCGUAGAUAUUGACAGGAACACCAGUGGCGUAAGCGGCUAUCUGGACCGAUAUUGACGCUGAGGCACGAAAGCGUGGUGAUCAAACAGGAUUAGAUACCCCUGUAGUCC